Molecule: non-coding RNA, 23 nt
Filed under: Arabidopsis thaliana (thale cress)
Lineage: Eukaryota; Viridiplantae; Streptophyta; Magnoliopsida; Brassicales; Brassicaceae
Source: RNAcentral
GCACCUAAAACCGCAAUGCAACA